Diabrotica virgifera virgifera (western corn rootworm) is the source of this 657-nucleotide long non-coding RNA. RefSeq lists it as uncharacterized. The record is from RefSeq and is a predicted model, not a curated record. The transcript is spliced from 2 exons. Lineage: Eukaryota; Metazoa; Arthropoda; Insecta; Coleoptera; Chrysomelidae.
CGUUUAUUUAACCAAAGCACAUAAACACCCAAAGUUGAUUCUUAACGGUCACGGUUAUCACAUAGCUUUACGCCAAUCAACCAGGUCAAGAUGGAGGUGUAAAAAGCAUAGAAGUAAUAGAUGUCUUGCUUUCUUAUAUACCACCACCAACGAGGGAAAAAAUACCAUUUAUGUGUAUAAUGAUCAUAAUCACCAACCCGAUGAAUACCCGGAUCCAGAAGUAUUACAGUCCCAGAAUGUGUUUGUUGUUAGAGCUGUAAAGGGAGAUAUACCUCCACUGUAAAAAGUGUUUUAGAAGUUCUUAAAAAUAAAGGUAUGUGUUUUCCAAAAUCUAAGAUUCCUGAUCCAGCACAUCAAGAAGAAGGUAUAAUUUAUAUAAGACAAGGAUUAAAAUAUCCGAAGCUUAUUGUCGAUUUUUAUGAAUAUACAAUUCAUCGAAAAACUCCAGAAAAAACCAGAUGGACGUGUGUGAAUUACAGACGAAGCAAAUGUAAAUCUGUCCUUUAUACAUAUGGAAAAACUGUUAUGAUUCGACACGAACACAACCAUGCUUCAGACAUUACAACCAUUGAACACACGCUUUCACCUCAAAAAGUUAUUAUAUAUAGAGAGUAAACAUGUCACAAAUUCUAGAAAAGAGAAUAAAUUUGUAUAUUA